UGGGGAAUAUUGGACAAUGGGCGAAAGCCUGAUCCAGCCAUGCCGCGUGUGUGAAGAAGGUCUUCGGAUUGUAAAGCACUUUAAGUUGGGAGGAAGGGCAUUAACCUAAUACGUUAGUGUUUUGACGUUACCGACAGAAUAAGCACCGGCUAACUCUGUGCCAGCAGCCGCGGUAAUACAGAGGGUGCAAGCGUUAAUCGGAAUUACUGGGCGUAAAGCGCGCGUAGGUGGUUUGUUAAGUUGGAUGUGAAAUCCCCGGGCUCAACCUGGGAACUGCAUUCAAAACUGACUGACUAGAGUAUGGUAGAGGGUGGUGGAAUUUCCUGUGUAGCGGUGAAAUGCGUAGAUAUAGGAAGGAACACCAGUGGCGAAGGCGACCACCUGGACUAAUACUGACAUUGAGGUGCGAAAGCGUGGGGAGCAAACA
This 427-nucleotide ribosomal RNA is filed under the name uncultured bacterium. Its description in RNAcentral is "partial 16S ribosomal RNA". It matches the Rfam family "Bacterial small subunit ribosomal RNA", at positions 355 to 774 of the family's 1533-position model. The record is from RNAcentral.